This 585-nucleotide ribosomal RNA is filed under the name uncultured bacterium. RNAcentral's name for it is "partial 16S ribosomal RNA". It matches the Rfam family "Bacterial small subunit ribosomal RNA", at positions 355 to 1375 of the family's 1533-position model. The record is from RNAcentral.
UGGGGAAUUUUGGACAAUGGACGAAAGCCUGAUCCAGCAAUGCCGCGUGUGUGAAGAAGGCCUUCGGGUUGUAAAGCACUUUUGUCCGGAAAGAAAUCCUUGGCUCUAAUACAGUCGGGGGAUGACGGUACCGGAAGAAUAAGCACCGGCUAACUACGUGCCAGCAGCCGCGGUAAUACGUAGGGUGCAAGCGUUAAUCGGAAUUACUGGGCGUAAAGCGUGCGCAGGCGGUUUGCUAAGACCGAUGUGAAAUCCCCGGGCUCAACCUGGGAACUGCAUUGGUGACUGGCAGGCUAGAGUAUGGCAGAGGGGGGUAGAAUUCCACGUGUAGCAGUGAAAUGCGUAGAGAUGUGGAGGAAUACCGAUGGCGAAGGCAGCCCCCUGGGCCAAUACUGACGCUCAUGCACGAAAGCGUGGGGAGCAAACAGGAUUAGAUACCCUGGUAGUCCACGCCCUAAACGAUGUCAACUAGUUGUUGGGGAUUCAUUUCCUUAGUAACGUAGCUAACGCGUGAAGUUGACCGCCUGGGGAGUACGGUCGCAAGAUUAAAACUUAAAUGAAUUGACGGGGUCAUAGCUGUUUCCU